CCAAUAGCGUAUAUUAAAGUUGUUGCAGUUAAAAAGCUCGUAGUUGAAUUUCGGGGUUCUACCGUUGGUCGGGCAAUUGUCUGUACUGGCGUGUGGAAUUUCUACCUUCUGGGGAACCAUCAUGUUAUUAAUUUAGCGUGGUGGGAAACCAGAACCUUUACCUUGAAAAAAUUAGAGUGUUCAAAGCAGGCUUACGUCUGAAUACAUUAGCAUGGAAUAAUAAAAUAGGACGGUGGUCCUGUUUUGUUGGUUUCUGAAUCACCGUAAUGAUUAAUAGGGAUAGUUGGGGGCAGUAGUAUUCAAUUGUCAGAGGUGAAAUUCUUGGAUUUAUUGAAGACUAACUUCUGCGAAAGCAUUUGCCAAGGAUGUUUUCAUUAAUCAAGAACGAAAGUUAGGGGAUCGAAGACGAUCAGAUACCGUCGUAGUCUUAACCAUAAACUAUGCCGACUAGGGAUCGGACGAUGUUAAUUUUUCUUGACUCGUUCGGCGCCUUACG
Molecule: ribosomal RNA, 496 nt
Filed under: uncultured Glomeromycotina
Lineage: Eukaryota; Fungi; Glomeromycota
Description: partial small subunit ribosomal RNA
Rfam family: Eukaryotic small subunit ribosomal RNA
Source: RNAcentral